This 108-nucleotide small nucleolar RNA is filed under the name Drosophila sechellia. Its description in RNAcentral is "snoRNA:GM27458". Lineage: Eukaryota; Metazoa; Arthropoda; Insecta; Diptera; Drosophilidae. The record is from RNAcentral.
AACGGAAACUUUAGAAGAAACCUAAACUAUAACCAAGUGAAGGCCUCUUACAUUAAAAAACCUCGAAAAAUGCCGCAACUAUCUCAGAAAACUAUCGCAAAGAUACAA